GGGCCCGCACAAGCAGUGGAGUAUGUGGUUUAAUUCGACGCAACGCGAAGAACCUUACCAGGGCUUGACAUCGCCUGACCGCUCUAGAGAUAGAGCUUUCCCUUCGGGGACAGGUAGACAGGUGGUGCAUGGUUGUCGUCAGCUCGUGUCGUGAGAUGUUGGGUUAAGUCCCGCAACGAGCGCAACCCCUAUUGUCAGUUGCCAGCAUUCAGUUGGGCACUCUGGCGAGACUGCCGUUGACAAAACGGAGGAAGGUGGGGACGACGUCAAAUCAUCAUGCCCCUUAUGUCCUGGGCUACACACGUACUACAAUGGCAACAACAGAGGGCAGCCAAACCGCGAGGUUGAGCGAAUCCCAAAAUGUUGUCUCAGUUCAGAUUGCAGGCUGCAACUCGCCUGCAUGAAGUCGGAAUUGCUAGUAAUGGCAGGUCAGCAUACUGCCGUGAAUACGUUCCCGGGCCUU
Molecule: ribosomal RNA, 463 nt
Filed under: uncultured bacterium
Lineage: Bacteria
Description: bacterial SSU rRNA
Rfam family: Bacterial small subunit ribosomal RNA
Source: RNAcentral